Molecule: non-coding RNA, 37336 nt
Organism: Rattus norvegicus (Norway rat)
Lineage: Eukaryota; Metazoa; Chordata; Mammalia; Rodentia; Muridae
Source: RefSeq, a predicted model, not a curated record
UGGUGAUGAUGAUCCUGAAAUCUUUUCUCCCAGAGUAAGAUCUACUACUGUGCAGGGGACUUUGAGCACAAACAUGGAUGUGAGACAAAUAUGGAUGACCAUCUGCUUAGUCAUGUAUAUCUCUUGCCUUCUAUUUAGACCUAAACUUUUUGAUUGCAUCCAGAAGAUGAACUUACAUUGUCCUUGAACCUUUCUAUCUUUCUUUCCAAUAUGACCACAAUGAACAAAUUUCCUUUUUUCUUCUCUACGCUAUGAUAUUUGACUUUUUAAACUGACUGUGAAGGGCAGGUGGCCUUACUUGCUUCGUUGGCAUGCAACCUAUGACCUAAUACAGUAAUGGUAAUAAGGGGUCAUGACCCCUACGAUUUAGUUGUAUUAGUGUUUGUGUCUGAGUCUUAUAAUCUUGGGUAGAAACAUUUCUUUAAUAUUUAACUUUCUCAUCCUCGAAUGUGCUAUUACUGUGCCUGUACAAAAAUGUGUGCUAAAAUUAUGUGUCAGUUUGUAAAUUCCCCAAUUCAUGACUUGUGAUUCACUAUUUUAUACUGUAAUUUGCUAUUGUUUGUUUCUUAUACAAUGACUCUGAUAUUCAUAUUUUGUAAUGAGAGUUCAGAAAUAAAUGUUCUACUUUUAUAGCUAUAUACUUGUAUAGGUCUGUUAGAUUAAAUGUAUGUUUCUGUAAUCAUGCAAUAUGAGAAUCGCUGAUCCUUUAUUUUUCAUACCUGUAUACUUUUGUGUGGUAUGCACUUUCUCAUGCUACCAUACUAAUCCAGGAGUCUAAGCCCAUGUAAAUAUGGAGCAGGCUUCAUUUUGCCAGACUGUGAAGACUUUAUAUGUAGAUGCUCAUGUAGCCUUAUUAGGCAUGGAUGAAAUGAUGUUCCUGUUAUUUUUAUCCAAACCCAUCUAACAGGAUGUCUUGUUAUGAUUAUGUGGCACAUUAAAUUGAAAACUUUGCCUCUACAGAAAAUUUCUUGUAUCUAUGGGAUAAACUUAAUCCUAUUGCCUAAUUGUAGCCACUAAUAAUGUACUUAAGGUUUUAAUUUAAUAUCCAUUAGUGAAAUUGUCCUGGCUUAAUUUUUUUUAUUAAACCCUUAUUACAUUAGUACUCGCUUGGUUUUCAUGUUACAGAGUUCUUUCUUGUAGGUCUUGAUUUAGUUCACAAGUUUCCAAGAGACUCAUGUAACAAUUCUGCCAAGAUCGCAAGUGUUUUAAAUGAGCUAGCUAACAAAUGUAUCUAACAUGCUCUUAACAGUAGGACAUUUUGUCCAAAGUCUGUCCGUCUGCUGGGACUGGUAGGAAAAUGCCCAGAUGCCUGUCUUUGUUGUCAUUUCUCUUUCCUAUAACCUAGGACAGUGUUGUAUGUCUAGGUGAUAUUUUCAUAGAAUCUAAGUUUGUAUAUUGUAUUUUGUACUAUGAUCAAUUUUAUUAUUUUCAUUGGGUGACUGGGUUGACCAGGAUAUUAUCUAUCUUUCUUUCCAUCCAUUUGUCUCCUCAUAAACUUUAAAAUUAUUUUUAUUUUUUUGAAAAAAAUUAUUAAUGACGGACCCAAUUAUUUGCAGUAAUUUUGGUAAAUUCAGCCACACAUUUCUUUUUACUUACUGCGUAUUUUUGGUAAUGGCAAUUAGAUUAUAUUAAUAUUAUCAUCAAUAUUAUUAAGAACCAGGAGAAAAUUAUCCAGGCCAGAAAAGAUUUCAACACUAGUUUCUCUACUUAUUUAUGUACUGGUUUAUUAACUGCUCUGCUUACCAUUUUCUGCUCUUUAACAAUGUAUGAUAGGAAGGCUUUGAACAUUUUAAAUCUCGUUCUAAAUUUCUUCCUGAUUACAAGCAUAAAAUACUUUGUUAAGAAAAUGUAUGUUCUAGAAAAUACUAGGUGGCAGUACUAUGAUUGGACACUAAAUCUGAGGAAGGCAAUAAGUUAAAUAAUAAUAAUAAUAAUUUUCUUUUAUUGGAAAAAAUAAACUUUUCUCCAAUAAUAUAUAUUGAUUAUGAUUUCUCCUCCCUCCUCUCCUCCUAGUCUUGGCCUGCAUACCCUCCCAAAUAUAUCUAUUCCCUUUCUGACUCUCAUAAGAAUUAUUAAAAAAAAGACUUCUAUGUGAUAAAAUAGGAUAGGAUAGGACAGGACAGGACAGGACAGGACAGGACAGGACAGGACAGAACAGAACAGGACAGAACAGAACAGAACAGAACAGAACAGAACAGAACAGAACAGAACAGAACAGAAUAGAAUAGAAUAGAAUAGAAUAGGUAUAUAAGAAAACAAAAACUAAUGCAUUAGAAUUGGAGGAGACAAACAAACAUAAAGAAAAGAUCCCAAGAGAAGACACAACAGUUAGAGUUGCAAUAGUUGCACACAUACUUAGAAACGCCAUAGAAUCACUAAGCUGGAAGCUAUGAUAGCUAUUUGUAGGAUCCAGUACAGACCUUUAAACCCUGUGUAUACAAUCUCAGGUUCUGUGAUUUCAUAUGAUCUUUGAUCAAGUUGAUUUAGAGGGCUUUGUUUCCUUGGUGUCCCAGAUCCUCUUCCACUUUUUCUGCCUCUGUUUCCACAUGGUUACUGGAACCCUGGAGGGAGAGAUAUGAAAGAGACAUUCCACUUAGGAAUGGGUGUUCCCAGGUUUCAUAUUCAGUCUCUCAUUCAAAGGUCUCAUUCCCUGCAUAUUGUCUGACUGUUUAUCUCUACAUUUAUUUCUAUAAGCAAGAAGGAAGCUUUUCUGAAAUGACUGAGCAAGGAACUGAUCUAUGAUAAUAGCAGCAUGAUUUUUGUUUGUUUAGCUUUUUUUGGAAGAGUAGUAUUUGGUUUUACCCUAUGUGCCUUGGAUAUCUACUCAGGUCCUUUGUCACCCAAGCAGUGUUGGGUAUGGGUUCUUCCUCAUGGAGUGGUCCUUAAGUCAAAUCAGCCAUUAAUUUGUUGUUCUCUCAAGAUUUGUCCUACAUUGUCCUAGCAUAUAUUGCAAGCAGGAUACUAUUAAAGAUCAAAGGUCUUGUGGCUGUUUUAAUGUUAACAUUUCGAUUUUGUUAGUGUUCAGAGUACCUUUCUGUACCAAGGACGCUAGUGUAUAUGGGUGAAGGCUCUAUAUAGGGACCAGCAUGACUUCUCUAUUUCAACGAGUUGUGUAGGUAUUGUCCUCAGCAAAAGGGCCUUGUUGUCAGUUUCUGGAGAGAAACCUAUCAUCUUGGUAACAUCCUGAAUUGUUUGAGAAUUCCCAUGGGACUGCUUUGCCAAAUAGUCAAUUAAAUGUAAACCAAUUUUAGAAAUGGAAGCUUCAUUUGGUGACAAGAGAUAGCUAGCCAGUGUAGAUUCUUGUUCCUCAUUUGGUGAUUUUAUUUAUGUUACCUUCACAUAUGUAUAUAUAUUUAAAAGCUUUGAUUGUAUUAGCUUUCCAUAGUACUUUUCAAUAUCAACUGUCUCAUACAUAUUCUCUCUUACAUCCCUCUCUUCCCUUGCCCACCACACUUGAUCCUUGUGUUUUAGCACCUCCUUUCAACAAUAACUAUUUUAUUUCCUUAUACUAACAAGAACUUUACUUUGUAUACUACCUUGUCACUUAACCUCUGUAGGGUUAUCAUUGAAAUAUAUAUAUAUAUAUAUAUGUACAUAUAAAUGGAACACUUUUCUAGUUUCAUGACUUCAUUUCUUGACAGCUGAAUUGAUCUAUUGUGUAAAUAUAUCAUUUUUUCUUUAUGAAAAAUAUAUCAUAUUUUUCUAUAUGUCAUUUAUUCUUCUCUUCAUGGACAUGUAGGCUGUUUCCAGUUUCUGACUACUUUGACUUAAGCACCAAUAAAUAUGGCUGAGCAGAUCUCUGUGGUAGAAUUAAGUGACUUUGGUGUAUAGACCCAAGAGUGGGAAUAAUAGCUGUAUCUUGGAGAAGAUUGUUCCUCUUCUUCAUGAGGAAUCACCACACUGAUUUCCAUAGAGGCUGUAGUUCACAUUUCCAUCAACAAUGGAUCAGUUGUUCCACUGAUCCAUGUCUUUGUCAUCAUGAGCUUGUUUUAUUGAUGUUAUCCAUUCUGAUCGGUAUAAAUAAAAUAUCAAAGUAAUUUUGAUUUUCAUUUUCUGUUGGCUAAGGAUGUUGAACAUUUACUUAAGUGUUUCUCAGCCAUUUGAGCUUUUUGUGUGAGAACUUUCUGUUUAUAUCUGUAUCCCAUUUGUAAUUUGAUUAUUUGUUUUCUUGAUAUAUAUAUAUAUAUAAUUUUUUUAAAUUAUAUAUUUUGGAUAUUUCUCCUCUAUCAGAUGUGUACUUGGGAACAAUCUUUUCUCAUUCUGUAGGGAGUUACUUUUGAUGAGUGAUGGUGUCCUUUGCUGUGUAGAAGCUUCUAGAUUUUAUGUAGAAGCUUCACAUUUAUUAAUUGUGGAUCUUAGUGUCUUUAACAACAAUGUUCUAAUCAGAAAGUUUUUUCCUGUGCCAAUGUAGUCAAAGCUAUUUCCCACUUGCUUUUCUGUCAGGUCUAAUGUAUCUGGUUUUAAGUUGAGUUUAUUGAUCCAUAUUGACUAGAGUUUUAUGCAGAAUGAUAAGGACAGAUCUAUUUAUAUUCUUUUACAUACAACCAUUCAGUUUGUUAAACCAGCAUCAUUUGUUAAAGACAUCGUAAUUUUUUUAGGUUUAUUUCUGGCUUAUUUAUCAAAAAUCAGGUGUUCAUAGUUGCGUGAAUUCUUGUCUAGGUCUUCAAUUCUAUUGCAUUGAUCAAGCACAUUUCUUUUUGUUUUAAUACAACACUAUAUACCAUGAUUAUACCCAUUGUUCAUACUGUCUUUUUAAUGUAUCUUAUAAAUUAAUUUUGGGAAUUUUAAACAUAUGUGCAACUCAUUUUUACUAUAUUUAUUCCUUAUUCUGACCCCUAUCUCCUCCUAUAUAUCCACAUCAAUCCCUGCUAAUUGCAACUCCUAUUCAUUAAUAAUUGAGUCCAGGUUGUGCUAUGAAUCUCCAUAUAAUUAUAUGGAGAGGGAUCUUCGAAUUGUGUUAAAUGUGUAAGGUCCACAGACUUAAACUCCCUUGACUCUGCCUCUAUUAUAAUUGCCUUUUUAAUAAGAUGUUCUGUGUUUCUAACUUCUUCCUGUUUGUUGAAGAGGAUAGAAAACAUGAAAAGAAGAAUAUGCUUAAAUGUAUCUCAAUAAUUUCUCACUGUAAUUAAAGAUAUAAUAUGAAAACAAGAAGAUUAUAUUUAUCUUCUCAUAUAAGAAUUUUGAUUUGAGUAUAGAUGUUUUACCAUAGUUAAAAAAUAGUACAUUUCCCCAAAAGUUUUACAACAAAGCCAAUGCAACAACUGUAAUAUAUCAAACAUAAAAUCUACUUAUUAGAACAUUGAAAUAUAUCAUACGUUUAUGAUCAUUUAGCUUUUUCUUCAUUUAAAUAUAUUAAAUUGCCUUAGUACUUAGUUCACCACUAAUUUUCUGUGCAUUUCAAUAAAACCUUUGACAUAUCAACUUUGAAUACAAUUUAGUCACUACACACUACCAUCAUUUUGUCAUAUUUAUAUUUAUACUCACAAUUUUAAUAUCUAUAUUUUAUGCAAGUACUUAUGACCAAUGUGCUAAAUUCAUAGUUCUCUAGAGAAAAAGAUACAUAAUAUAGCUAUAUAGGAUAUAUUGUUAUAUAAAAUGCUAAUCUGUAAAAGUUAUAUAGACAUGAAUGACAUUCAGUGGCAAUUUAGAGACAUGGAGAACCUGUCAAAGAAAAGGGCCAUCUCCAGAGCUGAAGUUGUACUGGGGGCUUAACAACUGAGCCUCUGGAGAGUCCCUGAUAAGUUACAGAAUUUACAAAUUUCCUUGAAGUAAAUAUUCUAUCACAAGGGCCAUACUCCAGCCAGGGAACAAUAGAACUCAGGCACAAUAGAAAAAAGCCUCAACCUAGCAGUGUAAAGGAAGAAACCAUCCCAUUGUUCCUAGAAUCAGGUUUUUAUUGAUCUCUUAGAGAAUCUUUGAGCAAGUAUACAAUUGAGUAGACUUACUGAACAGCUAGGAGUUCCUGGCACUCAGUUUGGGAAGGCUAAGCCGGUUCCAUGACAGACUUCAAAUGGGCAGGUAAGGACACUAGGCCUAAAUCUCUGUUUCUAAGAACUGGGCAAUUACAGGUAAGUCAAGGCUUCAGAUGCUGCCCUGUCACCUGGCAUUAGGAAAGGACAAUGGGUCAACAGCAGUUUCCAGACUUCCUCAGCUACUUCCUCAGCAAGUUUCCAGAUCUCCCCAUACAAGUUUCCAGUCCCCAUACUCCAGUAAUGGAAUGUCCAUAGAGAUGGGCCCAACAGAUUAACAUAGAGGUCAUCUACCCUGGAAUUUCAUAAUAUGCUUUAAAUAGGGCUUGCAAACUACUUGGUCAUCUCUCUAUCUUGGUAAUGGGAGAUCCAAGCAUGCUGGACUUCUGAAGAAUAAAACACUCUUUGUGGGGUGGGGGGACAUAAAAAACAAAACCAAAAAGAAGCGAAAUCAACAACAAAGCCAUCCCAGCAGCAGGUAGUGCUGGCGCACAGUGUAAGUUGCUGUGAUUUCAUGAACAAUUAAUAUUAUGAAUUUUCUUGCAAAAUGUUCAACAAUACAGGCUUAUUACAUGUAUUCUCCAAAUGAGAAUUAUAAACUUGUAAAAGAUGCAGAUAGAAGGAAACAAGACAAAGGAAGUGGGGUAAAGGAACAGAAGGGAGGAAAGACGAAGGGCAAAAUAUAAAUGUCCAAAGAAACACUUAGGAAGUUGUACUUACGAUUCUCAGUCACAGAAAUAGGAUAUUGCAAUCAGAAGGUUUCCUUCCCAAAUUCCUUAAUAAGUAAAUUUGAUAUGUGUCAAGAAAUAUCAGCAAAAUUUGUUUCAAAAAAGGGAAAAAUUUACAAAACUUUCUGCACAAAGCAUUGAUUUCCAGUAUACAUUAUUACACUGUUUGUUUAUACUAUUACUCAGCCCUUUGUGUUUAGAAUGGGGUUAAUAAGGGAGUAUGUUUUACUGUUCUGAUUAUGUAGAUGGAGAGGAGAAGCUUCCAUUACUAACUCUUGUAAGCACAGCAGCUUUGGUGAUGCAGUCCUUAGGCACAAAGGCUUAAUGUCCUUAGAAUCAGUAUCAUUCUUUUCUGCAUGGUUCCUUAAUAAUAAACAUUUUAUGCAAAAAGAUAAACGGUAAAUUUUGCUAUAAAAUGCAUGGUUUUAGUGGGAUGGUAGAUUUUUACUUGUGUGCUUUGCUAAAAUCAUAAACGAUUGAAAGCUGAGCAAAAAAAAAAUGCAAAAUUUAGCUGAGGAUUCAUGAUGACUUCAUAUAUUCCCAACAGAAGGUAAACCGGUAACAUCUGUACCCAUGGAGUCAUUCUCAAGUCUCCUCUCUUCUGACAGUAUUUCUUGAAUGCUAUGUGAGAAUUCUUUUUGAUCUAAUGUGUGCCAAAGGAUUGCUAAAUAUUGAAUAUUGGGCCAGGCCAGCACUCAGGAGGCUGAAGCAGGUAGAUCACUGGAAGUUUCGGGCUGGCUUGUUUUUUAUAGAGAAUUCCUGGACAGACAGAGCUAUGUAUAGAAACCCUGUCUCUCACAACCAAUAUUUGUGUAUGUGUCUGUGUCUGUGUCUGUGUUUGUGUAUGUGUGUAUAUAUGAAUAUUUAUAUAUAUAUAUAUAUAUAUAUAUAAAUGGGCAUGUAUACACAAUCUCAAAUGUCACACAAGGUGUUACUGACUUGGCUUUAAAAUAUUUUCAUUAUUUUCCUUCAUAUUCUUAAAGUUCUAUUAUAAAUCUAUUAUAUUAUAUAUCACCAUUAAUUACUUUUUUCUGUGACAGAAACAAAACCCACAAAACCACCAUAGGUUCAAAAUAUGCUACAAAAUUUCAGCAUGGAGAAUGGAAAGUGGGUACAAAUUAUUUUGCUUGGCCAAUAUACUAUUUGCAAUUGCCACAUGCUUAGAAAAAGAAAAUCAGUUUUAUUCUAGGGAAGGCUCUAGGUCAAGUAGUAUUUGGCCAAUGCAAAAUGGACUUCAUAGCUUUUGUUUGUUUUGUUUUGUUUUGUUUUGUGUGUGUGGUUUUUUUUUUGUUUUUUAUCAUACAUUCUUUAUCUCAACCUCCUCAUUCUGCCAAUAUCUACUUAGUUUUAAGUAGAUCACACACAUCUGCAUUGGCUGUCAUUCCUAUCUUCAUGUACUCAUAAAGUGCACGUGUCAAGGUGACUGCUUGGCAUUGCUAUAUCGUAGGUGUGGGUCUAUGCCAUAUACAAUAGCUCUGCUUUUCAUGGCGAUGUGUAAGGUGAUAUGUAAGGGAAAUGAACUGACCAUGAUAAAUUAGGAAACAAAAAUCUGACCUCUUCUGAAGAUUUUCAGCAUGUAAAUCUAAACAAAUUCAACAUUUUAAAUGUGAUAAACCAUUACAUUUGUAUAUGAAUUAGCUUUUCCUGAAAAAUCAAUCAUGAAAAAGUUACUUAUUAAAAAUAAUAAUUCUUAUAAGAGUAUUAUACUAAAUAAUUUUUAUUAUUGAAAUACAUUAACUGUGCAUGUCAUAAGAUAAAGAGUAGAAACAAUGUGGAAUAAUUAAAUCAGAACAAAUACAUUUUCAUUUCCUGGGAAUUCAUUUUUCUGUGUUGGGGAAAUUCUAACUCACUUUAUGAAAUGCCCAAUGAAUAAUUAGGAACUGUAUUCACCUUGGUUUCCUGUAGAAGAUUGGAAAACUUUCCCCUUUGUCCUUGGGACCCACCAUCUAACCUUUGUGCUUUCUGAACAUGUAUCAGUCAUGGACCUAUGAUUCGCUGAACAGCAGCUGUCAUGACUGCCUAUUUUCCCACCAUUUUUCUUUCUGAAAAACUUCUCAUGAAAAAAAUCCAUAAAUGAAUAAAGUAUUUGAUAAUUGCUAUGAUGUUAAUAGAAAGCCAGAGUUGUAUGCUGUUUCCUAAGGAGACUGCCUUAGCAUACUUCACAUAGAAUAGAGUCCAGCCCUUUUAAAGUGAGAUGCUGCACUGCACACCAAGCAUGAAGAAUUGGCCCAUAUGUUAAUGAAUAAGAAGAUGUACAUGUAGGUAUGCGUAGUAUGAAUUGCUCCAUUAUGGACCUUGGAAUUUAUAAUGGUCCCUGUCUCAUGACUCAGUUAUUCCAGUUCAAGUAUAAGAUUUUUUAAUUAUCAUUAUGUAUAUUUUCUAUGUAUGUGGGGGUGAUAUUAUAGAACAUCUGCUAAAGAGAAAGGAAUGUGUUUGGCAUAUUCGAAAUACUAUAUAUAACACUGUGAGAAAAUGGGGCAUUGGAUGCUUCUAAAGAAGAAAAAAUGUGACUGUAAGGCAGGUAGUUUGCCAUAUGCUUCCAAAGUUAAUAAUAUUGAGUUAAAAGACAUACAGGAAUUAUUUUAGAGGUCUGAUCUUUCUCUAAGACAGAUGUGAACUCUGUGCCAGGUGCAUUUGAAGUAUGCUAACUUUAAAUAUGUGGAAAAACUGACAGAAAUCAUUAUGGUUUUUGAGAACUUAAUCCAUAAUCCCAUCUAAGAGAAUCUAAAAACGACACUGCUGGAAAUGUAUGUAUGGGAUUUUAAACAUCUUCAGGUGUCAUUUUAACAUCUUUCUACCAUCCUAGUCAGGUGUUGACUACGGCUGAGUGCAUGUAUCUGGAGAUGUCACUGGGUGAUCUGCAGAACUAUGUUGCUUGGUAGAGCAUGUAAAAUUAAAUACUGUAGAGACUCACGUUUAUCAGCCAAAUCCCUGGAUCUAAGAAGACCUUAAGGUUAUUCUUGGAAGACAGACAUGCUCGCAACUACACCACCUAAGAAAAUUCUGGAUCUUUAGAUAUGAGAAAACGUCUUCUCAACUGACUAAUAUAUCACAAGUCUUCUUACUAGCUUUCUUGUAUAUUUAUUCCCUUAAAUACACAAGCAGAGCACUGCAAACCACUUAAAAGGUAGUAAAUUAGUCUUCAUGCUACUCAGUUCUAUAAGUGACAAUUUGUGAAUAGAAAUCAGAAUUCACUAAUUUUUCUGUGUUUUUCUGUGCUGAUAAAAGAAAAAAAAGGUGCUAUUAUAAGUUCAAAGAAAUGUGUUAGGGUAGUUUCAGAUGACUAAGCUCAUAGUUUGUAUUGUGUUAUGAUGGGGUUCUGUGUGAAUAUUUAUUACCAGAAAGUGAGUGUGGCAUAGAUAUUUAGCCAUUAAGAAGUCUCACUUUCUUUCCAUUCUCAUUGCUUUGAUAUAGUCAUAUUAACCCUGUUCAAAAUAAUUUUUGUAUCCAAUAUAUAUUAUUUGCAUAUUUUCAGUGAUGAAGAAAAAAGGAGAUAUUAAUAGCGACUUUUAGAAUGGCAACCUACUAGGAUAGGCUAUAUGUUGACUAAUAAAUACUAUAUGUUAAUGUGAUGAAAACAUCUUUGAAUAUAAUAUUACAGGUAAUAUCUAGUAUGUAGAUUCAUGACUAUACAUAUAUAUGUACAAUGGAUAAUUUAUUAAUGUAAAUUUUGAUAAACAUUUAUUUAAAAUAUUGAAAUGUUAUACAAAUUGUAAAUGUAACUAGAGUCUGAUUUUUAUUAAGUCAAUGACAUCAAAACCUGACAUUUUUCAACUGUGAAAACAGUUUAUUAGGAAUGUUACUUAUCUAAUUAGUCAUUUACCAUAUGUUGGCUUCCUUACAUCCAAAUAAAUAAACAUGUGUUUGUUUGUUUGUUUUGAACUUUAUACAUGCAAGUGUUUUGCAUGCAUGUAUGUGUGUGGACCACAUGCAUGCCUAGGGCACAGAGAGGUCAUAAAGGGAUGUCAGGUUCCCUAGAACUAGAUUUACUAAUGUUUGUGAACCAUCUCUUGGGUACUGGGAGUUGAACCCACAUCCUCUGCAAGACCCUCUGUUUCUAGCCCCAGAGACAUGGUUUUGUUGAAUCUCUACAGCAAAUAGUGCAAAUCACUUAACUAUACAGAUGUUGACAAUUCUAGCCAUAACAAGAAUUUUCUGUAAUACUGACCUCAUUGUACUGUUAUUGGAAAGAAGAAAUAAGGGUACCUGAGAAGAUGUGCUUUCACAGUAUUGUUUUGAACUUUCAUCAGCAUUUCUUCCUAUGAAGCUAGAACAUAUUUUUUCAGGCACUUACACGUCCACUCUCAUAAUGUUCUCUGUGAGAUUUUGAUAUAUUUUUGAUGGUAUUUCUCAGAUGAAAUUGGUUGCAUUGUGGGUAGUAUGGCCCGAGGCUGAUGGGUUUUCUCUGUGUCAAUGAUUAGGUUGAAUAAGCUGGUUGACACUUAUAUCUUACUUGAGUUGUACUCAGUUAUAUGAUUUGUUUCAAAAGUUUGAAGUUUGUAAAGUAAGAUUGAUGAAAAUCUCUUGCCCAAAGGAGUACUCUCAGAGUAAAAAUUUAAAUAAAAUUAUAAGUAGAGUCAUAUUCUUCAAAAGACACUUUAAGCAGAAUGCUUUAUAAACAGAGGGCUCAACUUAUACAUCUGAUUUGAGCAAGUCAUUCCUAGUAUAUAAUUUUGUAUGAGGAAUAAGGCAACACAUUUCCCAGUCUCCAUGCCAUUUAAAAUUUUUGUAAUUUAAACAUGGAUUUGAGAUGCCUAAUUACAGCUUUCAUGAUAUAGCGGUCUGCUCUCCCCAGAGUUUAGGAGAAAUAAGUAGAACAUUUCCCUAUUGAUAAGCAGGUUAUAGUUAGGUGUCUAAGAAUAUAAGUAUUAUAUAUGUAUACAGACACAUUCACACACACACACACACACACACACACACACACACACACAUAUAUAUAUAUAUAUAUAUAUAUAUAUAUAUAUAUAUAUAUAUAUAAAACAAUUUAUACAAAAAAAGAGACCAUGAAGUUGAAUAAGAGCAAGGAGGGAUAUGAUGGAGAAUUUAAAAGAAUAAAAGGGAAGGCAGAGAAUUAUUUAAUCAUAUUAUAAUCUAAAUACCAUAAAUAAUUUCUAAAAUAGGACUAAUGGCAUAGAUCAGUGUUAGAGUACUGCUCAUCUUACAUGAGACACUAUGGAAAAUCCCCAACCAUUUCAAAAACACAAACUUAAAAGUAAAAGAAGAGUCUGUCUUUGUCUCUAUAGGUGACAAUUGGCAACUGAACAAUUUUGCCUUAAAGUUAUAGUUGGGCAAUUGGAAAAAUACAGGCAUAAAAUGUCUAUGCCAAGAGGAAGGUUGAAAAUUAUCCUGGACACCCAUAUGGACAGAGUGAUGGUGGAAACAGGGGUAUACAAUUGAAGUCAGGGAGGUAGAAUGAGGUUGAGUGUGAUAGGUGUUGGGGACCCCAGGUUAAGGAUUAUUGAUGAACAUUUGAAAAGCGGAAUGAUAAGUAUUAUGCAUGUAUAAGAAAUCUUAAAACAAAAUUAUUGUUGAUGAAGGGAUACAUGAUCAUAAAUGCUUUCUCUUCCAAAGUACUUUAACUGAGCUAAGCAUAAUGGAUGUAUGGCUUAUUUGCUCCUUGCUAGGAUUUGCUGAUCUAUCACAUCUAUGGAUCAAACUGAAGAAAGCUCCCUUUGAAAUGCCUUGAUUAAGGAUGAGCUUAUGUUUUGUGAAAUUUUCCUGGAAGGCUUCUUUGUCUAACAAAUAGGAAUCAUUUUAUACCAUGCGUUUGUCCAGUAGUAUUCAAGAUAGGAAUGACACAAGACAAGAUUAUCUGGAAAUGAUCAUCACAUAUUCAGAUGGUGCCCAAGUCAUUCUUUAAAUUUUCAUGCAGAUUGCUUCCAGUUUUUCCCUUCGUCUCUCUCUCCACCAUAAUCAUUCUCAUGAGUACCACUGCCAAACUUGAGUUCUCUCUCAAGCACACACAAAGAAGACGGGCGAAGAUGAAGAUGAAGAGGAGGAAAUUAAACUGGGAAAAACAUUAGAAUUGCUGCAUGUGAAUUCCACUCACAUCGGGAAGCCAAUGCAUUUAAAAGAUUAAAUGAAAAUGUCCCAUCUCCUGUUAUCACACUCUGCUGUCUUCACCGAUGUGUUCUGAGAAUGAGAGAUGUCAGCUUUUCAAUGUAUCACUGAGAUUCCUCUGGCUUAUAGUGCUCCUGUCCUUUCUAUUUUCUAGCACACUCCUGUGAUAAAGUGAGAAAUAAUAUUCCAAAAUGCCAGUAGCAUUCAAUAUAGGACACACUGCCCUCCACAAUUAGCAUCUUUUUUCUGAUAGGCUACUGUUUAAGAUGCAAUGAUUUAUGGACCCUAUAAAUAUAUAGACAGUUGCCUGAAUAAAAGAAAGAUAUGUAGGAAGCUGCCUCUGUGUACUAAUAAAUGCCAAAAGGUACACUAGGUUAAAGAAAUUAUGUAUGGAGGAUCCCGGCUAUAAAUUUCUGUUGCAUUUUCUGGGUAGAAUUGCUUCUGUGUCUGCAUAAACUGCUUAGCAAAAAAUAGGCGAGUAGCAUUAAAACUUUAGUUAACUCUAUUUCCUCAGGUCUAUAUAAUUUUAAACUUAUUUAGGACAAUAGCCCAUUUGUUUUAUAAAUCACAGUGUUCAUUGCAAUAUCUUUCAAGCUGAAAGCAUUAAAUCACAUUCUAUUACCAAGCCUGGAAGAAUGCAGCAUUACAGCGUGGCUGGCAGAACAUGUAUCAGUGUGAUAUUGAUCUAACCCUGUAAAAAGAAAAGCCACCCUGAGCAGACUCCAAACUGCUCACAGUGUUAUCUGCAUGCGGCAGGGACGGUUCAGAUCCCAUAUUUCUGGGUCAAGGAGGCUAUAUUUCUGUUAAAAACAAACAAACAAACAAAUUCAUGAAAUUUUGAGAUAAUUGUGAUCUUUGUUUUUAUCUUUAAGAUUAAGAACUAUGGUAUUUGAAGAGGGCCAGGAGGUUAAUUAUAUGACAUAUUAAUUAGUUUGCUUUCCUGCAAGGAAUGAGUUAAAAUGGACUAGAGCUGAAAAUCCACCACUUCUUAAGUAGUUUAUAGCUCAUUCCAACCUUGUUCUGAGAGGCUCUGCUGGAUCUCUUGACAAUGUCAGAAUGUCAGCACUAGGAAUAGAGAGUAUGUGCUUAGCAUAGGUGGUGUCUCUUGAGAUAACCACUAGGUAACCCGGGUCUCAACUAGACUGCACUGAGAUUAUGCUAGCUAGUGACUGAAUUCUCUUCCUGUUUCUCAAGAGUCAACUGGUAGAAAUAUCCUGUAAUUUUCAUGAGGCACAAAAAGAGCCCAUUAGGGGAUAGUCAGAUUAAUAUACGGUCGGCAUUCAGGCUCACUUAGUGUGGCAUAUUCAAAUAAUAGAAAAAGAAAGGCCCUGGGAAGAGAGCCAAAAGAACCAUUGGAAAAGAUGGAAAUGUUAUGCCAAAAUGUGUAGAGAUCUACAGGGAUAAUGAACAAAGGGAGUGGGAGAAGAUGGGAGAGAGCGAAAGGAGAAAGGUAAGGAGGGAGGGAGACAGGGAGAGAGGGAGGGAGGAAGGGAAGGAGGGAGGAAGUCUGCAAUGCUGAGGUAAAGGCGACAGAGAGCUAAGUUUGAACAUGGCUUCAUUCAGUUCCAUAAACAUGCAUAAAUGUAAGAGCAUCAUUUAUUAGACUCACCACUAGGGUGAGGUAAAAAUGAGGAAAGAAGUGAGAUGAACAGACCUUGCUUAUGGGCUGGAUGGAGGCACCUGGCCAGUUUCUAUGGUUCUCAUUAAGUAAGUAAAGGGGAAUCUACAAUAAGGCAUCUUCCUAUGCUAAAUUACAUUUUAAUCUAGGCUGCCUGUGCCUGUCCGUUUUAAGUUCAUUUAUGCUUGGAAUUGCUUUUAUUUGUUGGUUUCUUGUUUCUAAAUGGCAUUGUGUAGGCUUUUGGAUUUUUGUUUCAGUCAUCUCUCUAUAUACCUGUGUCUGAUAUUUUAGGCAGCAUGCACAUGCCACUCCAAACUUCCUGGUACAAGUAGAUUCCUCCUUUCUGGUCAGCUUGCCUCCUUUUCAAUCACUAAUAGAACCCAUGUCCUACUCCAUGGCACUGUGAUAUUCCUCUAAAAUGGUGGCUGCUAUCAUCACCUUGACUGACCAAGAGAGAUCCAGAAGGAAACAAUAGAUUUUCUCACAUUCCUCUUCCUCCCUAGUGUAACACUCUGCUUGGCUUUCUCUUGAUCCUAUGAAGAAUAAAUGCAAUAGCAUAUUUACAAAGGUGACCUAUGACAGGCGACCAACCUUAUGUCCCAAGAUGGUCCAAUCCUUCUAUAGGCAGCCAGCAAGUUAAGUCAAAAAGUCACAGUAAACGGUGGGUGGGCACAGAAAGAAGGAGCCAGCAUGCUAAUUAACUGUGAACCUGAGUCUCAUUUAGAAGAUGGAUAGCAAAAGUCUGGAACUCUCUCAGGUCUGGUUCAGACUCCUUUAAUUCCUCUCCUUUAUUGCAUCAUUCUCUAAACACAACUGCUUGACUGAGGCAGGGAAAGUCAGGGAGAUUCUGAACUAAGGAUUGCCUAAAACUGCCAGCCAAACUUUAGUUGACUCAUGGUUAUUAGUCAUGCUUUACUAAAAUCAUUCAAAAAAUGCAGGAAAUAAACAUCUUUAAGAGUAAAGAGGGCCACCAUUUGUUUCAAACUGAAAUUCACUGGCCUUUAUGUGGUAGUUAAUAUUCCUCGCUGAUUCUGAUUGUUACCAGUUAACUACAAGAUUGCUAUCAACAGGAAGCGAUGAGGAUGGGAGUUGUUCAUUAUAACAGGGAUCGUGUUGAAGUUACAUAGCAGUAGAAUUUGUUCUUGGUUUGAAUGACUUUUUGAUUUGCAUCCUUCUUUCUGUGCUAUAAUUCACAAAACUGACUUUGCUAUGUUUUGUGGGGUAUGGAACACUGCAAAUUCUUUCAACUGGAGCUCAGACACGUACCUCACUCUGUUAGUGUGGAGUUCAUUUGAAGCAGGGCUUUGAGAUAAUUCCUAUUUCUUAGGUUUGUAUUCUUUUCUCAGCUUCUAUCUCAAUGAUGAGGAUGCCACGUUACAGCAUGUUGCUACUUUAGUACAACAGGGACCCCAAAAUGAUAUGCACAUUUAAACAGCCUCAGCUCACAUUCAGGUUGCCAGGAGUUUCAUAAGGGAGGAAUAGAUGCUGUAGGUCACUGAAUUUGAACUUGAUCUGCUUGCAUUAUUGGGGUAAUAGUCAGCUGAGGGGAUAUAUAGCAUUCAUCAGUAAAGUGCCACCAAGAAAAAAUAACAUAUAGCACUUGCAUGUGUGGCUAAUGAGAGUUCAUAUCAGACACACCCAUAGCUGAAGACCAAUCACAUUUGAAAUUCUUUCAAGUUGCUUGGGGAUUGUUCUCUGCUCUAGUUCAAGAGAAGACAGCAACAUCACGUAGCCUUCUCUUUCUAAAGAUGUAUCAUGGAGAACAGGAAUUGUUCUACAUGGAAAGUCAACACCACCACCAACAAAAGAACCCCAGAGGCACAGAGUGAUAGAUAAAGCUAGAUCUGAAUGUUGAACGUAAGCCAAAUUACGCAACCUUGCCCGAUGGUAGUAAUAGUGAAGCUUCGACUCCUUGGACAUUUCAGUGUGCUGUCAGAGGAUAUAUUGACAGAGGUAUGGGACAGAGUUGUGAUGAAAGUGUUCCAGAGAAAAGUGCCAGAAAACCAUCUGCACAGGUGCAAUCCCUUCAUCUUAUGUAAAACUCGAAGAAUGAGAUGUCAUACAAACUUGAAAAGUGUGUGAACAGUUGAUACUUCACAGGAAAACUACUGCUCUGUGCUAUAGCUCAUGUGACUGAGAAAAGGCAAGCAUGUCCAAAGCACCUGUCAUGAUUUUAAUGAGAAAAUAGUUAUAUGUUAAUACUUCUAAAAUUUAUAUUAUAUAUACUAGUAAGUGUAGGGUUGUGGGUUGCAUGUUUCAUCAAAACAUUUUGAAAGUGGUGAGAUUAUGAUAAUUUUCUUGUUCAUUGUUAGGAAAAUGGUACAGUUUUGACUUGCAUUCAAUAUAUACACAGAUUAUAGUACUGUGCGGUGUCAUGUAUGUAUGCAUACAUGCAUGUAUGUAUGUACACACGUGUAUAUGUAUUAUGUGUUUAUAUAUGAAUACAUGUUUAUAUGUGUGUAUAUAUGUAUGGAAUGAAUGCACUGAUGGAUGGUUAAACAUACUGGCAUAUAAAUUGAUGUAAGUAAUAUACUAGGGUCUAUACUUUACCUCAUUAUAAUUAGGCUGUAAUAAAGUGACCUCUUAGUUCAUAUUCCUUACUUCUGCUUCACAAAGUUGAGAUAUAGGAGAAGUUCCAGCAGUUGGUACCUGGUAUAUGAAUAACUUUCUGUGUUGGUUUGAUUAGAGUGUUCCCCAUAGUCUCUGAUACUUAAAUGCUUAGUCAUCAGGGAGUUUCACUACUUGAAGUGGUGAGAAUAUGUGACCUUGUUGGGGGAAACCUGUCAUUGAGGAUGUUCUUUGAGGUUCCAAAGUUAAAGCCAGGCCAAAUGGCUUCCUCUCUUCCUGUCACCUGCAUAUCUAAUAAAGAAUUCUCAGCUGCUUCUCUAGCACCAUGUCUGUGUGCCAUGUUCCCCACCAUUAUGGCAACAGACUAAACCUCUGAAAUUGUAAAUGAGACCCAAUUAAAUGUUUUUAUAAGGGCUUCUGGGAUCAUAGUGUCUUUACACAUCAACACAACCCAAUUAAGACACCUUCUAAAAGCAAAUUCAUCACUGGAUUCCAAAAUAGUGACUACAGUAUUUUCUGCCCCAAGAUUCAUUUCACGCACUUAGUUUGCUUUGUUGUAGUCUUAGAGGGUCUAACACAGCGAAGAAUUACCAGCUUACUGUUGUUUUCCUUCUGGUACACAUUAAAUCUGCUGAAGCAACUGAAAAUUGUAGCCCUUUGUUCAGAAAUAUAUUUUGUUUAAUUGAACUGUGUAGCAAAAUUUAUAUGAAUUGAAGCCAUAAAAAGUAAACAUUUUUGGUGUUUGUGUUUAUUGAGAAUAUGUAUGUGUGUGUGCGUGCGUGUGCGCGCGUGUGUGUGUGUGUGUGUAUGUGUGUGUGUUUAUGUGUGUGGGUGGGUGGGUGUGUGUGUGUGUGCAUGUGAAUAUUUGGGCAUGUGUGUGUCCAUGUGCAUAUUUGUGUGUGUGUAUAUGUGUGAAUUCUUCUGUGUGCAUGUGUUGGUGUUGGACUUUAUAUCUUAAAUUUCUAAAGUUUAUUGCUUCUAAUGAUGUAGCAAGGUUGCAAUAUGAAUACUGAACAUAAAUGACUUAAAGUGCUUGCUAGCAUCUUACAAGAUAGAGCCCCUAGGUACACAUUCCUCUCAUUCUUGUUUGAAGCCCUAGGAUGGAGUCAUGCCUGAAAAGCUACAGAUCUAUACCUUUCUGCCAUGGGUCAUCCUUCUCCCAGUGGUACUAAUGGUGUUACUUCUUCUUCAUCCUGGGAAAAGAUGGCCUGCCUGCACUGUGUUCCUACCCUUAUGAUGUCUUCUCUUUGGUUGCAAAUGUCUAGAGCCCCAAAGCUAUUUCUUCUCUAUAUUGAACUGUUUGUGCUAUUGAAUCACAAGGCCUGCAAAACUAUGUAUAGGAUUAAGAGAGUGGUCUUUAACUAUGUGGAUAAAAGUUUAAAUUCUUAAAGUCGAACUAUCACUGUUUUAGAAUACACAGUGUAUUAAUAGAAAAAGCAAAUUCCCCUUGUAAUGAGAAGAAUAAAGGAAUGUGUUGCAUAAUGAACAUAUGACUCAAAGUCUGUGUUUCUUUAGAUGAGAAAUAAAUCUUACAACAUAGAGCAGAUUAAAAAGAAAUGACCCAAGUAUGUAUUGUGAUAAAAAUAUUCACUCAGGAGCCUUUCUGUUUAUCCUAUUCAAUAUCUUCCAGGCAUUUAUUAUCCACAGUCAACGCAGAAGCCACUAGCCAGUUCCUAAAUGCCAGGGCUUUAAAUGCCUGUCAAAAAUGAAUUGGUACCUUAUUUUUAUAAGGACACUUUGUAAUGCAAAAGGGCAAAAUGGCAUACUCUCUGAGGAAAUAUGUGGUUAGACUGCUAAGACAAUAUUUUUUUAAAGAUAGAUAACAUCUCCCUUCACAAAGAAAUUGAGUAACUGAAGUUUCCUCCAAGGUUCUCUCAGACAUUUAAUAAAGAGCCAGUUUAUCCCAGAGAAUAUGUGGCAGAUACCAGCUGCCUACUCAGGGAGGGGUGCAGCAAAACUAGGAAAAGCACCUGCUGACGGGGUUUCAUGAACCUGACUGUUCUCACUCCAGGAGAGCAUUCAGAAUCUGAGCACUUGCUUGGGCCAAUUCUGCUGUCAGUCACCAGUGUCAAUCGGAAAAGGAUACCCAAGGCUCGGGCCAGAUUUACAGAGCUGUUCAUGGUGUCCAUUGAAUCUUAGGUCCACCCCACAAAUAACCAUCACCACCCCCACUAACAACAACAGCAACGACUCAGUAACAACAAUAAAAGCAAACAAACAAAAACAAAUACAACUAGAAAGAUUCAUCCAGACCUUGGCACAGUACCCCGGGGGAAGAACGGGCCCUGCAUGGCCUUCUUGAAUAAGAGCUGAGCUGGAGAGGUAAAUUAAAGCACAAGGGAGCAGGAAAGCCUCCCACAAUGAGAGCAAGGGAAGGAAAGUGGCUUUAGAAAGGGGAGAAAUGAAACAAAAGCCAGGAAGCAGCAUUAACAACUUUUACUGGGUGUACAUAGUUUUUUCCAAAUGUCCAGUAGAAUUUCCAGAGAGCUAAGCCGAUUUCAGUAGAUGACCCCUGGUGAAGAGUGACAGUAGGGUAGAGUCUGUUAGUGGUAGUGGCUUCCACUAGUAGCAAUUAUGAAUUCAGUUGGAAAAUUUCCCCCACUCAGAAUUAGGCAAAAUCAGUAACUAAGUCCCUAUUUUAAAACUACUUACCACAAUGCCAAAAGACACAAGAUGGGAAUUUUCAAGGGCCCUAUCAUUUGCAUUUUCUCCUGCCAAGAAAGGGAGAAUGAAUGUGAUAAAUUACAUGGUGGAAGCCCUGAGUCCCUCUGGCCAUUGCUGGCCCUGUGUCUCAUGACAUCCUAGACGCUGGAAGCAAGAACUCAUCCUUUGAUUCUGUGCAGGUGUCUAUCCUGUUGCCUGUGAGUCAACAUUUCUGAAUGUGAGGUAAGCAGGCUACUAUGCAGCUAUCAAUCUACCAGAUUCCAAAAUUCCCAUAUGUUAAAUAAUAUGUUAAUUUUCUAGUUUUGUGAUUUGCAUCUUAGUUGCAGAGAUUAAAUUUCCUCCUCAUUAAUAUCACAUUAAUAUCAUGUUCUAAAUUAUGAAAAAAUGUAUCCAUUUUUGCAGGUUUUGCAGGUCACCUAUUAUGGGGAAAUUUGUUAUGCACAGACAUGCCUCUAAGCCUAGGUACUACGUUCUAUGUACUCUCAGGCAAGGGCAGAAGUGUCUGUCAUUGUCUUUGCCACUAAGAAUUUCUUGGGAAGUAAAACAUCAUCAAGCAAACAUUUUGGGGGGAAUUCUGGGUGUUUCCUAGAAGGAGGUGGUGGAGAAGCUAGACCUAGAAGGAAGGAAAAAAUGUUAUGCGCUUAUAAUAAUAUGUAUUGAGAUAUGUGAUAUAAAUACAUAAAAUAAAUGCAUCUUUUAUAUGAAGUGGACUGCAUUUUUGUAACUAUGGGUAGACUGUGUAUGUAGGGCAUUUUCAGUAGUUCAUUGAUCUUCCACAACAUUCCUGCCCUUAUUUAUAGCAAGUCUAAUAAUAGGUACCCUGAAGCCUUUGAUUUUAUAAUACCUGCAAACCACAAAAGAAUUUAUUUGAAUUUUUGAAGGUCUUAUCUCUGAUUUCCUUCAGUAAAGUUACCUUUGAUUUACGCCUUUGGAUAAUUCAGCCUGAUUUUUGAAGUAGGCUUCAGUUUAGAAUUGAGUUUUAGAAAGAAUUUAUAUCUCACCUCUUCAAGCCACAGAAAUUGAGUAUAAGUGAGAAAUCCUGAAAAUAUUCAGCUGAGCCUUUAUUAAUCUAUUGGCUUUUAAAAAACCAAAAUUAUAAGCAACAAUAUAAAAUAAAUAUUGAAAAAUUAAAAUACAAUUAGAUUUCUAGGAUGAAAGCUUAGCAGUAAGUAAUACUAAUAUAUGUUUGUGUUGACACACAUUUUUAAAGAAAUAUUUUAAGUGAGAAAGCAUUUUACUUAAAAUUCACUUCUCAUUAGGUAUGAUAAGUAUACUCUAUCUACAUUAAUGAAGUAAUUGAGAAAAGAGCCAAUAAAUUAAGGCUCAUCAUAAAAAUAAGGAUAGUGGUUUUAUUAUUUAAGAGACCAAAAUUAUUUCCUUCAUGUCAAUACCCAUCCUUGAGUUUAUUGGAUUUUCUGGAACAAUGGCAUUACAAUUCUACUUAUUACUUGAUUAUUUAAUCAUUACAAGAAGGUGAAUUUGGGAUGCUUUUCAUAUUAGUACAUGUUUAGUCACUAUGCUUAAAUAUCUCACACAAACAUGUUAAGAAAGUUUUAUUUUGGCCCAUGGUUUCAAAACUUCUAGUGUACAGUUUUGGCUCCUUUGAAUUACAUCCAAAGUGUGGUAGAAUAUCAGGAUAUUGGGAAAUUGUGCUUAGAAUAUGCCUUAUUUGGUAUACAGAAACUAGAGAGAGUAGAAGCAUGAAUCAGUUGCAAUCUUCACAAGUGCCCCUCUUCUUAUCUGCUUACACCCCAUGUUAUGAAGUUUUUACUCCUUUCAAAAUGAUACCCUCAAAGGGAUCCAAUUUCUAAUAUUAAGCCUCUGUUGACUACAUCAUUUCCUGGUCAAAGUAUGGUAUUCUGAGAACAGCUAUGAAUAUGUUGUCAGUGACAAGGAUAGGGAUUAUAACUGCCAUUUGCAUGAUAAUUUCUUUCCUACUUGUUAAAUUAAAUUACAUAUAUUCUGGACUAAAUAAAGAAAAAGAGAAGGCUAGCCAAUAUGUGCAUGCUGCAUUCUUCCCAGUGAGUGAUGUACUUUGCAGCCAUUGCCCAUGAAUAUUUGACCCCAGCUUCUUUAACGUUUCUAAAAGAACUCACAACAAAACUCUCUAGGAUGCUUCCUGGCCUCAUAUUAACUACGUAAUUGUUACUUCAUGUUGCAAGGCAUUUAGCCUAGACUGAUUAUUCACAAGGUUCUCAGUUCUCUAGCAUGCUCAUGGCCAUUGUGAGAGGAUCUAGCCUCCGGUAGCAGAAUUUAGUUUAUUAAGCCUUCUUUUAUAAUGGAAUGCACGCAUUGGUUUUGUUUUUCUAGAGAACUCUGUUUGACACAGGAUUUACUUAGUUCCCUCCCAUCUGACCAUGGACUUUAUUGGUUUUUCAGCUGUUGCUCCAGCUGGCCUGCAGACAGUCAGCACAACUUCGUGCUUAUGGAAGGAUCAGACCUUAUAUCUUGAUCCUUUAAGUCAUAUUUAUGAUGGGACAAUUUCUUUAACUCAUUUUCUCCUCUCUACUUCUAAUGGACAGCUAGUGAAUGAAUUUUUUAAAUGAAAAUGUCAUUCAGCCUCCCUGCUUCCAAGUUUGUAAUCUGUAUCCUCUUCUUAAUUUAGAAAGAAAUCACUAAAAGUUUUAAUCAUUCAUGAUAAAGUUCCAUUGUGUCUGUGUUUGCAUAUGUGUAAGAAGGUAUGCCCUUGCUUCAAGUGACACUGAAGUCAUCAUUUAAUUGAACAUUGAUCAUCAGGGCUGUGAGAAUAGCUCUUGCCAUCCAAGCAUGAGAAACCGAGUCUGUCUUAGAUAACAUGGAACACAAAAGCUGGUGUGUUCCUGUGUGCGUAUAAUAUCAUAUCUGAAUGAAGUGAUACACGUCUUUCCACUGAACAUGCUAGCUAACCAGCCUAACCUACAUGGCCAGUGAGAGAUCCUGUAUUAAAGAAGUAGAACAAAGGAAGGAUGCAUGGACAACUUGCUCUCUGGCCUGCUACACACACACACACACACACACACACACACACACACACACACACACACACACAAAGACAGAGAGAGAAAGAGAGAGAGAAGGGAGAGAGAGAGACAGAGGCGCACACACACAGACACACAGACAUACAAUUGUAUGUAUUUUCAUUGGAUGUAUUUGUGUUUUUCCCAUUAUUUACCAGCUCUUUUUUCUCUCACAUUCCUUUGAAUAUCAGUGACUGUAGAAUUAUAUCUCAAUAAUUAAGUCUUAGCUAUUAAAUAAGAACUGACUCAAAGGGAAUCUGUUCCUUGCUAGUGCUAUAACUUUAAGCAAAUCUGUGAUAUUUUGGCAGAAAUAAAUUUUCUAGGUGGAGGCCAAAAAUAUAUGUCACCACAGGAAAAAACCAACAACUCGAUUUUGUGCUUGACUGCAUGAAGACAAUAGAGGCAUUCAUGUUAGACAAACAUUUGGAGCAGUUUCUAGAGACUUCAACCCUUUGCUGUCUUGAUGAUGAUAUAUUUAUCCGAUUUUGUCUAUCAAAACUCUGUUCCUUUGAGUGCCUAUCAUUCAAACCUUGUAUAGCCUUUGACAAUCUAUUUUGGAUUAGGCUACAGGUUGUCAUCCGCAUCUUUUCUUCAGCUAUAGAAGUAUACCUACAUGUGCAUGCACACACGUGUGCACACACACACACACACCCUCAAUCAAACAGUCAAAUGACCUUUUAGUCAAAAUUGCAUGUCAUUUAAUUAUUUGCUAGACUCAUUAAUUGGCAACAGUCUUUGCAGAUCCUCAUUAGAAUUAACAAUAUUCUACUUUAAUUUAUAGAAUAUCUGUCAUUCUUUCUGCUCAGCUUGAAAGGGGCAUGCAUAUUUCAAAAUCACUUCUAAAUCAUGAGAUUUAGCAUUUUCCUCCGUGACAUCUAUUUUAACAUAUAAUUAAAAACAUGGCCUUUUGAUCUAUAAAAAUAUACUUUGGAAAGGAAUACAGCCAUCUUUAAGUUUUUAUAUCAUUCUUUCCCAUGGGCUAUUUUUAACCUAGGAAAGACUGAAAAGGUGGAAGAAUUUUCUAUAAUGUACCUGUUUGGCUUGAAAUGAAAGAGAGGUGGUUGGCAUGGCAUAAUGGCCUUCAAUGUCUCAGAUUCCAGGCUGCAUUCUCUUUCUUGUUCACAGCAUCAGUUUCAGGGGACUUUGAUAACUCUCAGGGCUUUAGUCAUCUCAUCUGUCAAAUGGGGAUGCUCAAGGCAACAUGCACUAUAGUACAUGUUUUAGAAUUAAGAAUUCUAACUUAUGCAGGGGAAUCUAACUGGAUUAUUUAUACCAUGCUGUGACGUGGGUCUUACUGAUGUAAAUUAUGGAUGAACUGUUAGGGAAGAGUUCUGCUGAUUCUUAGAUGAUCUACCAAUUCAUGCUUAGUCUUUGAGAGUCUUAUUCCUUCUGUGUGUACCACAAAUAGGAAGAAGGUAUUGUCAUUCUAGACACCAUUUGUUGUGCACAUUAAGGAAAAAAUCUUGCUUUAUUCAAAUUUUAAUCAUCUGCCCACACUGGUGCCUUCAUUGCCUCCAAGGGAUCUUUGUUCGGUGGAUCACAGUGGUUAUCUUAAUUCCUUAACAUCUCACAUACCUUCCAGGAUGAGGCCAGAGGAAGAUGGAGUGGUCCAUGGACUAGUUUGUGUUGGAGGACUACAAGGUCCUAACAACCUCACCAGGUAAUAGGCUUUUAAUAUUAUCCUAUUUCAUUCUCAGGGUAACUUAGGCAUAAACUUGGGAAGUCCACACAAAUGGAGAAGAUGAAAUUUAGACCUAAAUCUCACUCCAGAUCAUCCUAAUCGUGUGUCAAAAACCUGGUUGAAAAUGAACAAAUAUUAGACAUGAUUUUUUUAAGGUAAAAAUGCAUAUCAGAUAAGAUUCUCACAGUAGUUGUGUGAGAAUACUGGAAUUUGUAACUGUCUUAUGGAUUCUGAAUGGAGAUGCUGGAAAAAGCAGAACUGAAGUAGGAGGGGACAGGAUAUUCACUCAUUGUCACUGAGUCAUUUGUGACUUCAUUAAGCAUCCAAUAUCCCUAGAGGCACAAUGCGUUGGCUUUAACAAAAGACAAAUUUUAUCAUAGAGACUUGCUGUGCACCAGUCAAUGGAUACGUUAGUAAAUGGGGUAUCGAGUGUUGAGUGAAAGAAUUGUAGUCUUUUGUAAAGAUUAGAGGCAAAUGCUCAACUGCUCUACAGCAAAGUAAAAUACAGUAUGGUUGAAGAAAGUGGAGAUAAUAAGUAGGUUGAGCAGGUCCUCAGAUUAGUGAAAAAGGAGGGCUGUCUGGGUAACUCAUUAAUAUGACAUGUAAAGGUUAAAGAUGAGAGGUACAAUAAACCUGGAGGUUACAUGGACAUCAUAGAUUGGGAGCAGAAUGUUUAGAAGUCCUGGGUUAAAAACUACUUGGCUUCCUUGAGGAUCUAAAUAAUGUUCCUAGUCAUAGGAAUAAGAUUAGUGAGGUGCAGAGAAAAAAGGAGAUGUGGUCUGAAAUGAUGGUGUGUGUCUGUGUGUCUGUGUGUGUAUGUGUGUGCAUGCAUGUGUGCAUGUGUGCAUGUGUGUAUAUGUGUCUGUGUGUGUAUGUUUUUUUGUAUGUCUGUGUGUCUGUGUGUGCAUGCAUGUGUGUAUUUGUGUGUGUAUAUCUGUGUGUACAUAUGUAUAUGUGUGUGUCUGUGUGUGCAUGCAUGUGUGUGUCUGUGUGUGUAUAUCUGUGUGUACAUAUGUAUAUGUGUGUGUCUGUGUGUAUGUGUGCAUGUGUAUAUAGAUGUGUAUGUUUGUGCAUAUGUAUGUGUGUACGUGUAUGUUUAUAUGUGAGUGUCAGCUAUCAAUGAACAGAGAGAAAAUAAUUCAAAUAGUUCCAGUACUAUGUGAAUACUGCUCAUUCUCUAUAUACAUCUUUGGUUUUGGAUAACAAUAAUAUAUUUUUUCAUAAGACAGCAAGAUCAUGAUUGUGCCAGCUUGAGGCUGGAGAAAUAUCUAAGUGGUUAAAAGUGCACACUGGUUUGCUGAGGACCCACAUGUGAAUACUGACACUCAUGUUAGAUUUCACAGUCAUCUUUAACUCUGCUUCCAGAAAAUCUAACAACUUCUUGCCUUGACAAACACCCAAACACAUGCUAACACACAGGCAAAGACAUAUACAUAAUUAAAAGUAGAAGUAAAAUCUUUAAUAGAGAUGGGCCUGACAUUGUUAAGGUCUCAUUCCAAGUUCAUGCAAACCAAAUAACUUGUUGUUUGCGCCUCUUUCUCACUUCUGUUCCUGGGUGUGCUUGACUCUAAGUGCCUCAAAGUAACAUUCCUCAAAGAGAGGGUGACUAUCUUUAAGAUGUGCCCUACUUGAUGUUAUAGUGUGUUGUACAGUCCACUCUGUAAUGGGCAGUGCAGAUGUUGAUGCCUAGUUCAGACACAAAAGAAAGGGAGAUCAUAGACAGUGAUCCGGCAUCCUGCGGAAAGCAGAGUAAAAUACUGCUUUCUGAUUUCUAAGAGUAUUUCUCUAAUAAUGUUUUGAGGAAAUUAUUUAAAAAUCAUCACUAAUUGUAUGAACUUAGAAAUUUUUUGACUUAGCAGUUUGCUCUAUUUUGUAUUGAGACAGCUACUAUUUUUAUCUAUCCAAAAAAUAAAUUGAAUUAUUUAUAUUUAUGGCAACUGCUCUCUUGGGUAUAAUUAAUAUUUGUGAUCAUUUCAGGUUCAGAACUCUAGUCAGAACCCUUUGAUUGUUAUUAUUAGCAUAUCCCUGGUAUCUCCAGGUUCUCCCCUCCACUUGCUUCUUUCUCUUUCUCUCUCCUUCUCUCCCUCCCCUCUAUUCUCCCUUUCCUCCCCCUCUCCCUUUAUUUAUACUCUUAUUUGUCUAAGUGGCAGUUUCUACACAUGCAUUGCAAAAGUGCUUUGGGGACAGAUAUUUACAUAUAAUUAUCAUGAUGUAAAUGGUGCAAGAAAGAAAAAGGCACUUAAACAUCAGAGCUACAUAGCCAAGGAGGAAGAUGUCAUGUAGAUGUUAUAUAUAUAACUAAGAAUUUAAAGAAAUGCUUCAGACUAGAAAACCUAUAAGCUUGUGGAUAAACUAGGAAUCUUUCCCCCACAAGAAUCCUUAAUAAUUACCAAGUGAUUAUUAUUAUUAUUAUUAGAUACAUAUGACAGGUUUUACUUAGCUACUACAUAAGGUAUCUGCAGAGCAAAAGUACAUGAAGUUAAGAUAGUACCAUACAGCAGGGGCCAUUACAUGCCAAGAAGAAUAGUUCAGAUAUUUAUUUAACAAGUAGGGAGAAUUCAAUUAAAAAUCUAUGAAUAAUUUAAUGCCAGAAGGAAAUUUUUCUGAUCAAGCCUGUAAGACUGUCUACAAAUUACUAUAGAAAUAAAGUCCACUGUAAAGUGUCUCCCAAUUAAACAAAUAUAUAGUUUUUAUUUGUACUGAGCAACAAUUCGUCAACUCUGUAUUAAACAAUUUGGAGGUUUAUAAUUUGUUAAAUGGUUGCAUAUAUGUUUAGAGGAAAUAUAUGCCUCUGAACUUAUUCAUAAAAAAUAAAUCAACACAUUAUAAAAAUGUGAAGUCAUGCUUGUUAUAUAUGUAAAAUGGGUGUCUGGAUAGAACCAACACUGCAGGAAGUCAUAGUAAAAUGACCAACCUUUUUAUGUGAAGAAUGUAUUUCAGGUAUUUCAGGUUUGGGCUUGCUGCUCAGAUGUCUGCUUGGGUCAUUGUCAGAGAAAAAAUGACCUUCUUCAAUGUUCCUUGCUUGGGUAUCUUUUACUGCAUAACUAAUUAACCAAAGCCCAGUGGGGUAAAGCAAUGUUUUCUUUUGGUUAUGAAUCUGUGAAUUGUGAAUUCAAUGAGGGCCCAUAUAGCUCCCAGGCAAUUCCCUGUAAAUUAUGGUCAGACAUUGUCUGUACUAGAGUUAACUGAAAGAAUUGGUCACAUAUUUUCCAGUACUCACUCGCAGGGAUUGGCAUCUGAGAUAAGCUCUGGGCUAGGAAUUAGGCUGCAGCCAUAAACUAAACUAUCUGCCUGGGUCUCUUCAUUUUGUACUUGCAAAGCAAUCAGAAUUCUGAAUUUGGCCAACUAUUCCUGGAGAACCAGGGACAACAGAAUUUGCAAGGCCACCUGCAUUUUAAAAUGUCCCCAGGAUCUCUCUGUUCAUCUGCAGUCACAGUUUAUAUAGGUCCAUAAAAAAAGUACCAUGGAGCCUGUCUCCUUAUAAGGAGAUUGUUAACAAAGGAUGCUCAUUUUAAAAUGUGGGAUAUUUCUCAUAGAAUUUCAAAGCAUUACUUAUUGAGUAGACUUACUUUAAAUGUUAGAAGACAAAUUCAUGUGACAAAUUUCUCUAGUGCAAAUACCUUGAAAUCACAUUUCAUAUAGUUGUCUUUGAAUAUAUAAAUAUGUGUGUGUUUGUGCACAUGCAUGUGUGUGUAUACAUAAAUAUAUAUUUUAUGAAAGCAAAAGCAAUCGCAUGUAAUGGUCAUAAUAGUAAUUCCACAAGGCUAACAUAUAUGAAUAUUAAGUUGAUAAAACUAUUUUGAAGUUCUAGAGAUAAUGCCUUUUUGAUGUACAAUUCAUGUCCCUUAAAUAAAUCCUUGAAAAUGUAUACAAAUUAAUGUUUUAAAAAUCAAUAUGUAUAAAAUCCAUUUAAGUCUAACUGCUUUCAAAAUAUUUUUACCACUCUUCCUUCAUUAUCCCUGUGAUUGGUGGCAGGCAAUCCCGAUUUCCUCAUUCUUCCAGCUCCUAGCAACCACAAAUCAUGUCUUUAUUUUGCAGUCUGAAUUCUGGGCCUUCAACAGAAAGGGAUUAAUUCAAUGUACACCCUCUUUGUCUGCUCGCUUUGAUCCUUCACAGGUGUUAUAUGUAACUAUGAAUGUCAUCAUCAGUGCCUUCAUUAAGUCCUUUCCAUGACAGCACAAUCACUACUGAAACCAGAGAACGAACUUCUACCCCAUGCAUUUAGAACAUAAUAAGACAAUACACUCACCAGUGUUCUGCUUUUAAAACUUGAGUGGAAGAAUGAGGUGGAAGACACAUGUGGAAAGCCAGUCCCUCAGGUGGGCCUACUCCAUACACAAGAAGGCUUCAGGUGCUGAGUGGUUACUUUUCUGAAGUCUUAUCAAAUAGAUAGUGCAAAGUCCUAUGACAAAGACAAACUUUUAAGGAGAGAUCACUGAACUCUAAAGCCUAUAACUGAAUCAGAUUUGUGUAACCCAAUUGCAGCCGACUAACUCUCCCUCUUCCACUAACCUCAAGGAUAGGUUUAGCUCAAGCAACUGCAAGCUGACAUUUUGAGAGCUUAGAGAAUGGAUAUUUAGAUACUCAGGCAUACAGGUAGGAAGUCUGUGGUUUGGACUGUGGUUAAUAGACCAAAAGAAUAUAUGAACAACCAUAUGACCGCCAUAACAUUGUUCGUUCUGAACACAGUGGACAUAUUUUUGAACCUUUGGUUUUAAUCAUCAAGCAAGGAAAUUAAUCAUUAUAUAACCCCAUAGCAAGUGGUAUGCUCUUCACUCCUUGGUCACUCUUACCCUAGAAAUCUGAAUCCUAAGCUUUGGACUUGAUUUCUUUAAUUAAGAGACUUAGAUACAUUUAGCUCCAGUCCUGUAAGUUUACUGAGUCACUGAGAUAGAAUUCAUCAUUAAAUUUUGACAUACUCUCAGUCAAAGAAAGAGCUAUUUCUUUGUAUAUCAUUGGGCUCUGAUCAUUGUGUGGCAGGGUGUGUGUUUAAUAGAAGUACAGGAAAUUAAAGGUUGAGAUUUAAUCAUUAGAAAUUCCAUUUAUUUUUAUAGUAGCAUUCUGAUUUAGGUGAGAUUGGUAAGGGGAUAGAGAGAACAAGGCAGUUAGGUGUACUAGAGUAGAUUCCAUGAAAUAACUGAUUCAAUUCAUAAAUGUCAAGUCAAGAUGGGAAAAGGAUCCAGAGUCCAUCCCUGAGUGACACAAAACCACUGGUAUGACUAGCACUUGUGCGGUUGAUGCCUGUGAUGGUUGAUAUCAAAUACUAAUUUGAUCACCAAAGAAAAACAUCUUUGGGCAUAUCUCUGAGGAUUCUCUAGAUCAGGUUCAUUUACAGUGGAAGCCACAACUUCAGUGUGGGCAAUAACAUUUCAUGGGAUGGGACCUGUACUGAAUAAAAAGCAGAAAGAAAAAAACUAGCACCUGUAUUCACAGUUCUCUGAUUCAUAAUUUGAAUGCAAUGUGGACAGUCAGCUUCUAAUGCUACCUCACCUUAACUGCGAUGAUGGACUUUAUCCUCUAUCAACCAAAAUAAACCAUUAGGUUUUAUGUUUCUUUACUCAGCUAUUUAUUCUGUCAUAGCAAGGAGACAAGUUACUAAUACAAUGAAUAUUAUGUCAAUGGUAAUCUAUUAUUGUAUUAUAGGAAAAAACCUCCCUACUACAGCAAAUGGUGACUUAAAGGUAUUGUUAGCAACAAAUUCUUAAAGAUGUAUUUAAAAUUGGUAACUAAUAACAAAAUCAUUAAAAGGAAGAAAAUAGGAAUGUGGUGAUGUCAUUGUGUAGUUGGGGGCUUUCAAGGGUACAGCUUUUACGUGUGUGUGUGUGUGUGUGUGUGUGUGUGUGUGUGUGUGUGUGUGUAGUACUGAUGCUUCUAUUAAGGUAUUGGCUCACACAAAUUUGAGGUUUGGAACGUCAAAAAUCCAAAUCUUUCAGUAGACUGGACAUUGCAUUAUGAUUUCUAGUAUGAGGAAGAAUUCUCUUGUUUUGAAAUUCAUUGAUCAUGUAUAUAUAUAUAUAUAUGUAUAUAUAUAUACAUAUAUAUAUACAUAUAUAUAUAUACAUAUAUAUAUACUAAUUUAAUAUGCAGUCACAUAAUACAAGCCUUGCCAACAGGAAAUUAAGAUUAAUCAUCACAGAGGAAACAUGAGUUAAAUGAGUUCAGGCUUGAAGGUGUGGAUUGCAUGUUCUGAUGGAUUAGAAUUGUAGAAAUUCUCACUAGGCUUUGGGAGAUAAAAGCUGUUCAUAAGCAAUCACUGUUCCCUACUGUGUUCACCCAUUUUUAUUUAGAAACUUGCUUACUCUGAAAAAAUCCCCUCUCGCAUUUGCAUGGCCUAUUGUUAAGCGAGGGAGCAUUUGCUGGGCUUCCCAGUCCAGCUCGUUUCCAUCGCUCUGGUCCAGCAGAGCGUUGUAAAUGUCUACCAUAAAGGUUUGCUAGUUAUUGCCCUUAAUUUGUAUUGAGACGGAAGCAAAGAGAAGGAAAAAUACACACGCAGGAGUCUUGUAAUUAUGCUACAUGAAAUUAUUAGGCAAUCUAGAAAAUUGUUAGUGGGAAGCUGCCCAUCAUGCAUAAAAAGAAUUUUGAUUUCGACAUCCAGAGUUUAAUGUGAGAAUGAUUGUAGGGAGACCACACUGUUAAUUUUUCCUCUAAUUAUUUGAGCACAUUUGAAUUUGUUUUAAAGAAAGCGAUAGCUUGAGAAAGUUGAAUCACUGCAGUCAAGAUAAUCCUGGUUUGGCCGUGUGACAAAGUUCAUUUUCUAAGACGUGCUGUGACCAGUAAAACUAUGAGAGCAGCAAACGGCAUGUGUUCUUUGUUUCCCUUACCCCUCUAACUACAAGUUGUAAAUAACUGACAUAUUUCCUGGUAAACUGAAGAAUAUUAUGCUGUAGGCAUAUCUAGGUUUUUCAGAUAAUUUUGUCUGAAAUGCUGAAAAAUCUCUAAACUUCCAGUUCUCAUGACAAAAUUAUUCAUUCAAAUAUUUUUCAAUAUUGUGACAUGUAUUUUAGUAUAAAAAUUGUAGUAUGUUGCCAUUAUUAUUAUUAAUUUCUGGCAAAUUUUAAGCAAUAUAUAGUUAAUUUAAGUAAGUUACGUCUACAAGGGUUGAAAGCAUAUCGUUUUUGGGUAUUGAUGUAAUUAAUUUACACAUAUUUAUUUUUAAAAAUUCACUGGUUCAUGUCAGGAAUGAUUUUAAUCUCAGGCUUUUAAUGCAAACAGUCAAGAGAUUGUCAGAGGAGAAUCUCCAUACGUUGAGGCUUGCAAGUUCUACUGGGUAAGUUCCAGGAUAUCCAAGACUACAUAGAGAGACCAGUAUCUUAAAAACAAAAGCCAAAAAAGUGUUCUGUAAUAUUUUAGGGACUAUAAUUCAUACUCUUUGAGCAGUAGGAAAAAUUCUUAGUGAAUAUCUAAAAUGUGUGUGUGUGUGUGUGUGUGUGUGUGUGUGUGUGUGUGUGUGUGUCUGUGUGUGUGUGUGAAAGAGAGGGGGAGGUUUGGAAGGCCUGCCACAACUCACAUCACUCUAAGUUAAGUAAAAUUAUCACAGUCCUUUGCUCGCUGAUUAUAACAUGACAUUCUGGUUCACUCUUACAUGACAGUGGGCUUUCUAUGUCCAACUCAGUGAUUCUCUCCAAAUGGAUUGUUCUAUGAGAGCAAGACCUACCCACCCCCUCGGAGAGUGCCAACCUGAGAAGGUGGCAAAUAAAAAUUGUCCUUGUGCUUGUGUGAGGAGACUGUCCAAGCAUAGAGAGGGUGGAGGAGAAAUGUCAUAGCCAUCAGAAAGCAUAAAGUCACACUCCUUUGGACCUUUAGGUGGAGCCACCUGCUCUUGACCUUAUUUGGUCAGGCUCUUGGCAGUUUGGGAACUAUUUAACGCAACCUUGCUGAGUUACUCUUACUGGUCUCCACAGCCUCCUACAGUCAUUCUACUUGCAUUCUGCGUCCAUCUUGGCAACAUCAAUGUUUUCUAGGUGACUUCUGAUCCUUUUCUCCUGUGCUUUGCAUUUGGAACGAGGCCUACAUUGCAAAAGCAUUGAGAAAACUCAGAUGUCAUCCCACUCCUUUGACUCUGUUCGGUAGGUUCCAUGAUCCUUUGCACACCAAUUCUAUUCCAUACUAUUCACACAUAAAUCUAGAAAGUUGCACGUCAGUGAGAGGCCUUGAAGAUUCUUUAAAAACUAUCUAUAUACAGCCCUCAGCAUUCAAUUAUCAUUUCAUUCUCUAAAAAGGAAAAAAAUGAGGCAUAUUCUAACUCAGCAUUUAUGUCAAGAUCAAGGCUUUCCUGAAUUAAUCUGUGAAAUCAUUCAUUCUGUUUCUACAUCUUCACAAGAUCCAACCUAUGAAAAUUAUAUAUCCUUAUUGUCAUUCUGAUCUGUUUCUAAAAUUUUCUGAUGUUAGCACAAUGACUUUCUCUAGCUUUCUGAAAAUAGAAGAAAAGGAGGCUGAUAAUCCUCAGUUGGUAACAUGGUACCUAGUGUUAGAUCUGUCCAGUUGAGGGGUGUCCCUGGGAAGUGCUGGGAAGUUGAAAUCUAAGGAGUACGCAUUGGGAGAGGAUAAAGAAAAUGGUGUUCAGAAACCAAUGUGAUAAAAUGGGUUUGAUGGAAAACGUGUAACACCAAAAUGUGUGAGGGCAGGGAUCAGAUAGAAAACCAGUGCCAGUUGAGAUGGCUAGUUGAACUGAAUGGUGACAGGGUCUCCAAGUCUUUUUCCCUAGUAUUGGUUUUGUGCUACAGUUUUGCUAAUAGAACCAAAUGCUCAGUGGUUUUUAUAUGGCACGUUAUUUGAAACUUUCAGUGCCCAAAUUUAGGAAAACUGAGGCACAGAGAAUUGAAGUUAGUAGUCACAGACAUUGGGUGAUCUAGAUCCAAAUUAACAGAAGAGACCUAGACUUCCUGCUCCCUAUAGUUGAUUAGUCCUGUUGGGUGAUGGGGUACCAUUGGGUGAGGGGUGCCCGUCAGAUUUGCAUGAUUCAAUCAGAUUUAGUCUGACCUCUGAGAGAACCUAUGGGAAAGAGGUCAAAGAGGAUGCUGGCCCAGAGUGCUGCGAUACAGAGGAGCAACUGAGUGAUGAUGGUCUUUGAAGUGUAAGAGUGUUAUUUUGUGAAGGGAAAUUUCACUUUAACGAGAACACCUUGAAUUGAAGGCUUUGAAUUGGAGAGAAGGUUUUAAAUUGCUAUCAGAAUUUUUCAUUUUAGUGACGGAAACAUUCCGGAGCCAAGUGUGCCAUGCUGUAUCUUUCGUGCAGGCAAUGAUUUGUGGUAAAUAACUGCCAGCUCCUCCAGCGUAGGAACCCUGAAGUAUGGGUUCAGGAGAAACAGCAAUUCACUUCAUCUUAGGACGGGACUGAUCGUGGUUUUGAACAACAAGGUUUCAGAGAUCUUUUAAACCUAAUCAUCAUGACCUGUGAACUUGUGGGUUCAUUCUUCAAGGGAGAAAGAUUGAAUUGUGAGUGUGAAGCUGACUUCAUAGUCUAAAUAAGUGGACCCAAAAGCAAUAAGAAAAAAAAGUGUAUUAAAUUAUACAAGUGGAAAGAAGAAUGAACAUCUAUCCUUGCCUGGUUUACUGGGAACAUUAGUAUGUUGAUGAUGAUAGAAAGGUCAGCAUGUACAACACCCUUUAAUGCCUCUUUUAUUUUAUGUUAUGAAACAAUAUGGUAUACUUGUAUUGCAACUAAAUCAUAGAAUUUCACAAACAUUUGUUUGAGAGUGAUUGAGCUGGUUCUUCAAAAGGAGGGAUUAUUUUUUGAAUAAAUCAACUUUGUAAAACCAAAACAGAACUCCAAAAUGAAUUGUAACAGCAGACAUUGAACUGAUGUGGCUGUACAUCAAGAAAAUAACUGUUAUUUAAUAAGUGUAAAUAUUAAACUGCAAUCAAUUCUUUUCCCUGUUGAAGUUGUGCUGCCAAAUUUAAUGGAAUAAUCACUUUUUUACAACAGGAAAAUCGAUUAAUAUCAAUUACACCUGCAUUUCAAAAUACAAUCUCUAUAUAUUUUUACUUUAAGAAAAAAUUAGUGACUAAGAACUGGAAGAUAGUUUUUUUUGAAUGGCUGAAGCAGAGUAAGUGGUGCAGAAAUCGCUAAUCAUUCUUCAAUCUGCCAAUGGAUUGGUUGAAUUCAUUGGUCGAGCCAAUGAAUUUCUUCCUUAGAACAAGAAUUGAGAGCCACAAAUCACCUUCCCACAUUACAAAUAUUGAUGCAGAUGUUUAGAAAAACAAAAUUAUUUCCCAACUCAUGCAAGUUACUAAAUUCCUUUGGUUAAAUUAUUUCUACUUAACUUGGUUUUCCUUUGACAAAAUACUCAUGAGUACUCAAUAACUUUUAUUCAGUAGGCUAACUGCAUCUCCCUUCAUCACAUACCUUUACAUUUUCAAAGAGAUCUUUUAAUUUGAAGGAAUAGAUUUGUACGUAGUCAUAGAGUGAACAACCCAGUCUUUCAUAUAUAUGAUCCAAGGUUUUCCACUAUAUUCAUAUUGUUUCAUGUUUCCUUUUUUCCCCAUGUUUCCUUAAAGUCAUGUGAUUCAGCAUCUAUCUGAUGACUGUUUGCAUGCAUUUGACAGAAGGCAGUAAAACAGACUCUUAUAUGUGCAGUGAUGAGUUUUUUAGCCUAUGUGGCCCUUUUCAGAUGGCUUACUAAAGCAACUCCAGAGAAGUCACCAAGAACUCACUUCUUUCCUGUCCUUCAAAGUUUCCAAGUAAAUGGCUAAUAAAACCAUUCUUCAACACUGUCUCUCUGAAACAAUAUGUAAGCUUGUUUCUUGGUUGAAAUAUAAAGCCACAGUUUUUCAUGGCACCAUAUGGGUUUGUAGACUUGCUUUAUUAUCCAGGGUGACUUAGCCUUCUUUCCCAUCAGUCCUAGUUACAGAAGGGAUCCUGCCUUCCUGACUCUAUGACACAAUUGAAAUCAUUGAGUUAUAUCUCUUGAGGCAGGUAGAAAAGAACUCAAAUUAGGCAUGAUGUAUUUUCGUACUACCACUGUAAUUAUGAAGCACAUCAUUGAUACCUUGAUGCUCAUCAGUAUUUAUCUUAUAUUGUAUUCAUCUUCAAGGAAACACAGCACAAAGCAAAUUGGAUUUAGAAUUCACAGAACUGUAUUUAUUUAAUAUCUUCCUUUUCAUCUUUUGUUCUAAAGAUGUCAUUCCAUUUCAUAAAAUUUACCUAAGAAAUAUCUUUUAUUUUCAAACUGCAGCUUAGUUUACUUUAGUUCAAAUUCUGCAAUGUAUUACAGUGAGUCUGGAGAACAUUGGUUAAUUUUUGAUGAAGGUAAACAAAGAUUGCUAUAUGACAUCACAAUGGCUCUUAUGAAAAUAUUUCCUAAAGAAAUAUAUUUUUAUUCAUCAUAAACCUACACAAUGACAUUUUUAGCAGCACAGAUGCCCAAACCUGAAAACAACUGAAAUGCCCAAAAGGAAGUAAGUGGGUAAGCAGCUCUACCUGGAAAGGGGUUCUGUAAUUAGCAAACAUUAAUCUAUCUCAUCUGGGUAUAUUUCCAGCUAUCUUCAUAGAUAUUAUUAUUUGUGAAAGGUGCCAAAAACCAAAUAAACAAAUAAAGAAAAGGAAAAGCAAAACACAAAACCUUUUUAAUUUCCCAAGCAAAACCUGUAAGAAGCAAUUGUAAAUUGACUAGAGAUUUCAGUGAUUGGAAUAAGAGUGUGAAUGUAAAAUGGUCAGUGUAAAAGAACUCCCUGCAGAUUGGGGUUUAAUCUGUACCCAAUUUAUUUGUGGCUAUAAGAAUAUCUGCAUGCAUAAAACUCACAAAAAGUGAAUGUCAAAGCUGGAAAAUGACUCAGUAUUUGCACGACUUUUUAUAACAUGAGAUCAGAAUGUAAGCAAUCACAUGAAACAAAACAAAACAAACAAACAAACAAAAAACAAACAGGCACAACAGCAUAUGUUUAUAAUCCAAGUAGCAGUAAGGACAACAUCAGAUGUCCUAUGGAUUUCCUAGCCAUAAUAUCUAACCUGUUCAAAACCUUCAUAUUCACUGACACACCCUGUCUCAAAAAAUUAGGCAUAGAAUACUGGAGGAAGACAAUGAACAUCAAACACUGACCUUCACAAACAUAGACACUAGCAGCAGUAGCAGUUGCUACAAUAGCUGCAACAGCAAUAACAAGUUACAAGGUAAAUGAGUUUUUUUAAAUGGAAGUCAUAAAACUAAUAUUUGUGUUGCUAAAAUCUUUUCCUUGUACUAUGAUAAAAUACUCUGAAAAAAAAAAGCAAGUAUAAAAAACAGGUUUUAUGGUGGAUCACAGUUCAAAAAAGAGUCCCUUGUGGUAGAAAAGUCAUGGUGGCAAGAGCUUGAAGGACACAUUCACAUAACAUCAAUAAACAAGAACAAGCACCAAAUGAAUUCAUGCCACCCAUAACCGUUUCUCCGAGUCUGCAGUCUGCCAUCACAGAAAAUAUUUUCCCUACUCAUUUAAUGUAACUGAGGUCAUUUCCCACAUGCAUCUGGUAGCCCACCACCCAGGAUAUUGUGGAGUCUGUUUACUUGACAGUUAACUCCGAUCACACUCAUGGAUAAAACUAUAUAAUUCUCACAUAUUCAACUAAAAUAAAAGGUAACUCUUGCCAUUUUUAUCUACUGUCACCACCUGAUGUUCUGAACCCCAUGUUUCCAAGUCCUGCCAUGUGAAAUGGAUUAUGUGACAUAGUUCUCACCACUGGAGCAGUGUUAGCAGUUUAUGGGCUUCUAUGAGUGCUGAUGGGUGCCGUGGCAUGAGGGUUGUUUGUAUAAUAAUGUACAUAUUUUCAUGUUCUUCCUUCAGGAAAUACUCUCCCUGUUAAGGUUAAUGACUCCAUGAUAAUUAGAAACAGCAGAGUACAGGAGGCGAUCAUGUGUUCCUCAGAAAAAUGGUAAACACUGUGACCUCAAGAGAGCACUUAAGGCUGUGGGAAAGAACUCUGAAAACAUCAGUUCAAGAGUGUAUAAUUUCUGUACUAUGCAAAAUAUAAGGAUGAACUAUGUAUUAUGUGAGGCUUCAUAGACCUAAACAAAAACAAACAAACAAACAAAAAACAAACAAACAGAGGCAGCUACACCGCAAACCAGCUUGUCAGAAAAA